AUGGAGGGGAACACCAGCAGGAAGAAGGACUGGACUGUGAGCGACAAAGCAGUUAUGGUGUUGCCUUGCCUGGGGCUAUGGAAGCUUGGUCUGGAGGCUUUCCCAGGUGGUGCGCCCUGGAGAGUGAGACCCUUCCCAUCCCUCUGGCUUCAUUGUUUUCUUGUUGUUUCAGGGUGGUCUGCAACUGGAGGGCUGACAGCUGUUUUUUUCAGGUUCAGGGCCAGACCAAGAACUGCGAUGGUGCCCUUCUGGAGCAAGGGUUGGGUGUGCUGCUGGAGUCCUGAGAGGAAGGUGAAGCCCUGAGGUUGGAAGGCUGUGGCUGCAGAAGCGGAGCAGAGGGACCAGGUAGGCAUGUGUUGCAUGCUGCUUACCUUAGGGGUGGUUUUCAAUAAGAAAAGUGGCUUGGCUUGGUUGCUUUGGUGGAUUCUUAUGGUGUGGUGGUUUUAAGGGAGAGUAGGGCUAGGUGAGUGAGUUAUGUUUAGAUGCUGUGUGCAGAGAUGUGGUGAAAUGGGGUUAUUGGUGGGUGUUGGAUGAUGUAGCAGGUCUUGAGUGGUGUUGGUGACGGUGUGACUUUUGUGGUUUAGAGGUGGUAUCUUUAGCUUGUGCUUUCUUUUUGUCUUAGUGAUGGUUUUUGGUCAGGCUUGGUUGCUGUGGCUUUUGAGUGGUGGUGGAUAGUUGUUGUGUCCCUUAGAAAAUCCC
Molecule: long non-coding RNA, 699 nt
Filed under: Numida meleagris (helmeted guineafowl)
Lineage: Eukaryota; Metazoa; Chordata; Aves; Galliformes; Numididae
Description: lncRNA (ENSNMEG00000004709.1)
Source: RNAcentral